UAACGCGUGGGUAACCUGCCUUAUACAGGGGGAUAACAGUUAGAAAUGACUGCUAAUACCGCAUAANCGCACAGUACCGCAUGGUAGUGUGUGAAAAACUCCGGUGGUAUAAGAUGGACCCGCGUCUGAUUAGCCAGUUGGCGGGGUAACGGCCCACCAAAGCGACNAUCAGUAGCCGACCUGAGAGGGUGACCGGCCACAUUGGGACUGAGACACGGCCCAAACUCCUACGGGAGGCAGCAGUGGGGAAUAUUGCNCAAUGGGGGAAACCCUGAUGCNNCAACGCCGCGUGAGUGAANAANUAUUUCGGUAUGUAAAGCUCUAUCANNAGGGAAGAAAGACGGNACCUGACCAANAAGCCCCGGCUAACUACNUGCCANCAGCCGCGGUAAUACGUANGGGGCAAGCGUUAUCCGGAUUUACUGGNUGUANAGGGAGCGUAGACGGCAGGGCAAGUCUGGAGUGAAAGGCAGGGGCCCAACCCCUGGACUGCUCUGGAAACUGUCCGGNUGGANUGCAGGAGAGGUAAGNGGAAUUCCUAGUGUAGCGGUGAAAUGCGUAGAUAUUAGGAGGAACACCAGUGGCNAAGGCGGCUUACUGGACUGUAACUGACGUUGAGGCUCGAAAGCGUGNGGAGCANACAGGAUUAGAUACCCUGGUANUCCACGCCGUAAACGAUGAUCACCAGGNGU
RNAcentral lists this ribosomal RNA (692 nucleotides) under uncultured bacterium. Its description in RNAcentral is "partial 16S ribosomal RNA". It matches the Rfam family "Bacterial small subunit ribosomal RNA", at positions 111 to 823 of the family's 1533-position model. The record is from RNAcentral.